UUGUGAAAGAUUCUUCACCUUAAUUAUUUGUUUGUAAGAUGAUCUCUCUUCCUCUGUUUGUCUCUUUCUAGUCUUCAUGACUGUGGCAUUACAGAUGUUUCUUCUUUAGCUCGGUCUUUGAAAAACACAAAAGCUCUGCAGUUUCUAAAAGAGCUUGAUCUGAGAUUCAAUAAGAUUAGAUUCUCAAAGCAGAAGCUCAUUGAGGUGCUACGAGACUCAAACUGUAAACUGAGUGUAGAUGGAGCUUUUAAAUGCUAUAUGUCAUAAUGUGAAGUGGCCUUGAGAGGAGCAGUAAACAUCAGCUGAAGAUCCACAGAAGAGCUUCACUACUGUGUCUAUGAGGAGAAAUAAAUGUGUAAAUGUGAUCCAUACAGGUGAAGAGACUCAGACUUUACAAUGAAAUAAUGCAGCAUGUGUGUUAGAAACAUGAUAUUGAAUGAUUAAUGUUGCUUUAGUAUUCAAGCAGAUGAUCAUUGUGUUUAAUGUAAAGCUGGAACAGAGGAGGAAGAGGCUCAGAUGAGUCUGUCUGGCUCUUCAGUUUAAUAAUAUUUGUAUUAAACUCAUUCAUAAUGAUUCAAAUGUUUAAAUGUGAUUGUCAAGUGCAGCACUUAAAUCUAUCAAAACAUAUAAAGCAAAUCUACAAUGUGUGAAAUUGCCAUGUUACUUAAAACAUUUCCAUGAUCUCUCUUAUAUUUUCUACACAUUGUUAUUCUAUUUAAUUCUAUAUUAAGUUAGCUAUGUGUCUGUCUGUUGCUAACAAUCACAAAUGCUCUCAUUACAACAAACAAAGCAGAAACACAGUGUAAAUAAAAGCUGGAUUGUGCAGUUUUGACAGAUGAAUUGAUUAAAACGUGAG
Molecule: long non-coding RNA, 856 nt
Organism: Cyprinus carpio (common carp)
Lineage: Eukaryota; Metazoa; Chordata; Actinopteri; Cypriniformes; Cyprinidae
Exons: 2
Source: RefSeq, a predicted model, not a curated record